AUCAGAUUAAAGCCAAUGUUUCUUUUGAAACUUGUAAAUGAUGACUCUGGGUAAAUUAACAGAUUGCACCGCCAUUGAGUGGGUGACGUUGAUUGGAAGUGUCUGACCUAUCAACUUUUGAUGGCAGUUAAUGUUACUGCCAAGGUUGUAACGGGUAACGGGGAAUCAGGGUUUGAUUCCGGAGAGAGAGCAUGAGAAAUGGCUGUCACAUCCAAGGAAGGCAGCAGGCGCGAAAAUUACCCAAUCCCUGAUCGGGGAGGUAGUGACGAGAAAUAGCGAUGCCGCGAUCUUAGGAUUCGGCAAUUGAAAUGAGAACAAUGAAAUGAUUUUAUCGAGAAUCUAUUGGAGGGCAAGUUCUGGUGCCAGCAGCCGCGGUAAUUCCAGCUCGAAAAGCGUAUGUUAAUGCUGCUGCGGUUAAAACGCUCGUCGUUGGACAUCAGGAAAUGAAUUGUAGACAACCUAGUGUUGAUACUACAAUUUCACUCCUUAUAAUGCUUGUUCAUUGUCGAUGCACUUUAUUGUGUGUCACAUAAGAAAGCUAAUGUCACUUUGAGAAAAUUAGUGUGCUCAAAGCAAGCUUAAUGCUUGAAUAAUGUUGCAUAGGAUGACGUAAUAGGGCCUCGGUUCUGUUUCGUUGGUUUACGAAAGCAGAGGUCAUGAUUAAUCGGGACAGACGGGGGCAUUCGUAUUGUGGUGCUAGAAGUGAAAUUCUGUGACCAUCGCAAGACGGACAACUGCGAAAGCAUUUGCCAAGAAUGUUUUCAUUAAUCAAGAACGAAAGUUAGAGGAUCGAAGACGAUUAGAUACCGUCCUAGUUCUAACUGUAAACUAUGCCAACUGGGGAUUCGCCAAUGCAAUUUAGCUUGGCGAGCACCCUUCGGGAAACCAAAGUGAUUGGGUUCCGGGGGGAGUAUGGUUGCAAAAUCGAAACUUAAAGGAAUUGACGGAGGGGCACACCAGAAGUGGAGCCUGCGGCUUAAUUUGACUCAACGCACAAAAGCUUACUCGGUCCGAACACCGUGAGGAUUGACAGGUUGAAAGCUCUUUCUUGAUCUAGUGGGUGGUGGUGCAUGGCCGUUCGUAGUUGGUGAAGUGAUUUGUCUGGUUUAUUCCGAUAACGAACGAGACUCUAGCCUAC
This 1138-nucleotide ribosomal RNA is filed under the name Notothenia coriiceps (black rockcod). Its description in RNAcentral is "bacterial SSU rRNA". It matches the Rfam family "Eukaryotic small subunit ribosomal RNA", at positions 209 to 1351 of the family's 1831-position model. The record is from RNAcentral. Lineage: Eukaryota; Metazoa; Chordata; Actinopteri; Perciformes; Nototheniidae.